AUUGAACGCUGGCGGCAGGCCUAACACAUGCAAGUCGAGCGGAUGAAGGGAGCUUGCUCCUGGAUUCCGCGGCGGACGGGUGUGUAAUGCAUAGGAAUCUGCCUGGUAGUGGGGGAUAACGUCCGGAAACGGGCGCUAAUACCGCGUACGUCCUGAGGGAGAAAGAGGGGGAUCUUCGGACCUCACGCUCUCAGAUGAGCCUAGGUCGGAUUAGCUAGUUGGUGGGGUAAAGGCCUACCAAGGCGACGAUCCGUAACUGGUCUGAGAGGAUGAGCAGUCACACUGGGACUGAGACACGGCCCAGACUCCUACGGGAGGCAGCAGUGGGGAAUUUUGGACAAUGGGCGAAAGCCUGAUCCAGCCAUGCCGCGUGUGUGAAGAAGGUCUUCGGAUUGUAAAGCACUUUAAGUUGGGAGGAAGUGCAGUAAGUUAAUACCGUGCUGUUUUGACGUUACCAACAGAAUAAGCACCGGCUAACUUCGUG
This 484-nucleotide ribosomal RNA is filed under the name uncultured bacterium. Its description in RNAcentral is "partial 16S ribosomal RNA". It matches the Rfam family "Bacterial small subunit ribosomal RNA", at positions 30 to 507 of the family's 1533-position model. The record is from RNAcentral.